RNAcentral lists this ribosomal RNA (495 nucleotides) under uncultured bacterium. RNAcentral's name for it is "partial 16S ribosomal RNA". It matches the Rfam family "Bacterial small subunit ribosomal RNA", at positions 28 to 506 of the family's 1533-position model. The record is from RNAcentral.
GAUGAACGCUGGCGGCGUGCCUAAUACAUGCAAGUCGAGCGAACGGACGAGAAGCUUGCUUCUCUGAUGUUAGCGGCGGACGGGUGAGUAACACGUGGAUAACCUACCUAUAAGACUGGGAUAACUUCGGGAAACCGGAGCUAAUACCGGAUAAUAUUUUGAACCGCAUGGUUCAAAAGUGAAAGACGGUCUUGCUGUCACUUAUAGAUGGAUCCGCGCUGCAUUAGCUAGUUGGUAAGGUAACGGCUUACCAAGGCAACGAUGCAUAGCCGACCUGAGAGGGUGAUCGGCCACACUGGAACUGAGACACGGUCCAGACUCCUACGGGAGGCAGCAGUAGGGAAUCUUCCGCAAUGGCGAAAGCCUGACGGAGCAACGCCGCGUGAGUGAUGAAGGUCUUCGGAUCGUAAAACUCUGUUAUUAGGGAAGAACAUAUGUGUAAGUAACUGUGCACAUCUUGACGGUACCUAAUCAGAAAGCCACGGCUAACUACGU